Toxorhynchites rutilus septentrionalis is the source of this 998-nucleotide long non-coding RNA. RefSeq lists it as uncharacterized. The record is from RefSeq and is a predicted model, not a curated record. The transcript is spliced from 3 exons. Lineage: Eukaryota; Metazoa; Arthropoda; Insecta; Diptera; Culicidae.
GGAAUAAUCAACAAAACGAAAUGGCAUCACUUGUGUUUUUUUUUUCUUCCCCGCUCAAAUGUCAGCUCGUAUAAAAACAAAUGGAUCAUACAAUUGAUAAUCUCAGCGAAAAUUUCUUGGGAUCAAAAAGUUGUCAGCAUACUAGGAUUGUGUUGUUUUAUCAUUAGCUAUUAACAUCAACUUUAUUGGAGACUAUGCGAAGCAGUUCUAACCUAACAUGUAAGGAUAUCGCUCUGCCAUUGGACACUGCAGAAUGGAAAAGCUGCUAUGGUGAAUCAUGUACGCGUUGAAGCCAGCAGGAAGCCUUUCGAUUCAGCCUUCCUAAAAAGCACCGGAAUAGCAAGUGGAGCAUCAUAGAUAGACCCAGUUAUGCACAUAUGAGUUAUAGAGCACGAAACAAUUUGGUUUCAGUGCGUGUAUUUUGAUAUAUGAUUAUUUUGUUAGUAAUAAAAUUGUUGAAAUUGGUGACCGGAAUAAAUCGCCACAGUAAACAACUGCAACAGAAACAACCGCUUAGAAAAAGUGUAGUAGGCUAGAAAUAUUUGGCGCGGGAAAAACAUCAUGUGCCUCACAUUUCUAUUAUAAAUUUAUUCUCUUGUUCUCGUUUUUCGAAAUUUAUUCUGAGGACAAUGUAAUGGGGACGAAGUCCCCAUUUGGCGAGGAUAAGGAAUCGAGGCGGCCCAUGCCGCCAAGAUGACGCAAUCCGAGUCCACCGCCGACCCGCCGUCGGAAGCGGCGGUGUCUCGCACGCAAACCUGGGAUCCACUGAUUGCCCGGUUAGUUUGAAACAUAGGAUACGAUCCUUUAGCAAUGUCCGACCGAGCUCUAGCGAGCGUCGGACGGUAUACGUCUGCCCGGGGCGUUACGUUUGCCUGGGGCGAUACGUUUGCCCGGUUAAUUCUUGUUUUGAAAUACAAUACCGCGCCACAAUAUUUAUAGCCUACUACACAUUUUAUAAGCGGUGGUUUCUGUUGCAGUCGUUUUCUGUGGCGAUUUAU